CCCGCUGAACUUAAGCAUAUCAAUAAGCGGAGGAAAAGAAACUAACAAGGAUUCCCCUAGUAACUGCAAGUGAAGCGGGAAAAGCUCAAAUUUAAAAUCUGGUAGUUUUAGCUGCCCGAGUUGUAAUCUAGAGAAGCAUUAUCCGCGUUGGACCGUGUACAAGUUUCCUGGAACGGAGCGUCAUAGAGGGUGAGAAUCCCGUCUUUGACACGGACUACCAAGGCUUUGUGAUAUGCUCUCAAAGAGUCGAGUUGUUUGGGAAUGCAGCUCUAAAUGGGUGGUAAAUUCCAUCUAAAGCUAAAUAUUGGCGAGAGACCGAUAGCGAACAAGUACCGUGAGGGAAAGAUGAAAAGAACUUUGGAAAGAGAGUUAAACAGUACGUGAAAUUGUUGAAAGGGAAACGCUUGAAGUCAGUCACGUUUAUUGGGGAUCAACCUAGCUCUUUUGCUUGGUGUAUUUCCUAAUUGACGGGUCAGCAUCAAUUUUGACUGGUGGAAAAAGGUCAGGGGAAUGUGGCAUCUUCGGAUGUGUUAUAGCCCUUGGUUGUAUACAUCAGUUGGGAUUGAGGAAUUCAGCACGCCGCAAGGCCGGGUCUUUGACCACGUUCGUGCUUAGGAUGCUGGCAUAAUGGCUUUAAUCGACCCGUCUUGAAACACGGACCAAGGAGUCUAACAUGCCUGCGAGUAUUUGGGUGGAAAACCCAGAUGCACAAUGAAAGUGAAAGUUGAGAUCCCUGUCGUGGGGAGCAUCGACGCCCGGACCAGACCUUUUGUGACGGAUCCGCGGUAGAGCAUGUAUGUUGGGACCCGAAAGAUGGUGAACU
This 823-nucleotide ribosomal RNA is filed under the name Calocybe ochracea. RNAcentral's name for it is "partial large subunit ribosomal RNA". It matches the Rfam family "Eukaryotic large subunit ribosomal RNA", at positions 24 to 832 of the family's 3401-position model. The record is from RNAcentral. Lineage: Eukaryota; Fungi; Basidiomycota; Agaricomycetes; Agaricales; Lyophyllaceae.